AAUGAACGCUGGCGGCGUGCUUGACACAUGCAAGUCGAACGAGAAAGUUUUCUUCGGAAAACGAGUAAAGUGGCGCACGGGUGAGUAACGCGUGAAUAAUCUACCCCUGAAUUUGGGAUAACAGUUCGAAAGGGCUGCUAAUACCGGAUAACAUUGUCUUUUUUACGGAUUAGACAAUCAAAGAGGGCCUCUCCUUGGAAGCUUUUGUUUGGGGAUGAGUUCGCGUCCCAUUAGUUAGUUGGUAAGGUAACGGCUUACCAAGACAUCGAUGGGUAGCUGGUCUGAGAGGAUGAUCAGCCACACUGGAACUGACACACGGUCCAGACUCCUACGGGAGGCAGCAGUGAGGAAUUUUGCGCAAUGGGCGAAAGCCUGACGCAGCAACGCCGCGUGAGUGAUGAAGGCUCUUGGGUCGUAAAGCUCUGUCAAGUGGGAAGAAACCUCUUGGAGUUAAUACCUUCAAGAAUUGACGGUACCACUGAAGGAAGCACCGGCUAACUCCGUG
This 505-nucleotide ribosomal RNA is filed under the name uncultured bacterium. Its description in RNAcentral is "bacterial SSU rRNA". It matches the Rfam family "Bacterial small subunit ribosomal RNA", at positions 29 to 507 of the family's 1533-position model. The record is from RNAcentral.